Small nucleolar RNA from Cavia porcellus (domestic guinea pig), 77 nucleotides. Its record names the gene SNORD81. It matches the Rfam family "Small nucleolar RNA SNORD81". Rfam says of the family: U81 is a member of the C/D class of snoRNA which contain the C (UGAUGA) and D (CUGA) box motifs. U81 acts as a guanine methylation guide and is found in intron 11 of the gas5 gene in mammals. This RNA has also been called Z23 snoRNA. NCBI's taxonomy places the organism in Eukaryota, Metazoa, Chordata, Mammalia, Rodentia, Caviidae. The record is from Ensembl.
UGGAAUACAUGAUGAUCUCACCUCAGCUUGAACCCUCUCCCUGUUUACUGGAUGAUGAGCAAAGAUCUAAUGUUCUA